This is a long non-coding RNA of Pipistrellus kuhlii (Kuhl's pipistrelle), 332 nucleotides long. RefSeq lists it as uncharacterized. The record is from RefSeq and is a predicted model, not a curated record. Lineage: Eukaryota; Metazoa; Chordata; Mammalia; Chiroptera; Vespertilionidae. The transcript has 3 exons.
AUAUGUUUAAUUAAAAAGUGUAAGACUUAUACACUGAAAACUGCAAAGCAUUGUUGAAAGAAAAUUUAGAAGACCUAAAUAAAUAGAAAGACAUUCUGUGUUUAAGGAGCAGAAGACAAUGUUGUUAAGAUGACAACUUUCCUCCAAAUUAACAAACACAUUCAGUGCAAAACCUUCCAAACUUUCACUGGCAGUUUUUGCAGAAAUUGAAAAGUUGACCCCAAAAUGCAUGUGGAAAUGCAAAGGACCCAGAAUAGCCAAAACUAGUUUGAAAAAAGAAAAAAACAAAACAAAGGCCCUAACUGGUUUGGCUCAGUGUAUAGAGCAUCGGC